UCCGGUUUGUCACCGGCAGUCCCGCAUGAGUCCCCAACUUAAUGCUGGCAACAUGCGGCGAGGGUUGCGCUCGUUGCGGGACUUAACCCAACAUCUCACGACACGAGCUGACGACAGCCAUGCACCACCUGUGAUCCUGCCCCAAAGGGAAGCCGUGUUUCCACGGCGGUCAGGAACAUGUCAAGCCCAGGUAAGGUUCUUCGCGUUGCGUCGAAUUAAUCCACAUAAUCCACCGCUUGUGCGGGUCCCCGUCAAUUCCCUUGAGUUUUAACCUUGCGGCCGUACUCCCCAGGCGGUCAACUUCACGCGUUAGCUUCGUUACCAAGGAAUAACUUCCCCGACAACCAGUUGACAUCGUUUAGGGCGUGGACUAC
This 374-nucleotide unclassified non-coding RNA is filed under the name uncultured bacterium. RNAcentral describes it as "contains 16S-23S intergenic spacer region". The record is from RNAcentral.